Molecule: long non-coding RNA, 494 nt
Filed under: Homo sapiens (human)
Lineage: Eukaryota; Metazoa; Chordata; Mammalia; Primates; Hominidae
Description: HSALNT0041045
Source: RNAcentral
AUCAAACCUGGUGGUUAUUACUGUCUAUCACAUUUUAUUUCUGUAUUUCACAGCAUUUGCUAUAAUGAGUACUUGGACAUCAAAAAUAUUUUCUUAUUCAACCACUAUUCAAAAUCUCAUAAAAAGGAAUAAAAAAUUGUCUGCAUCUUUCUUAAUCUACUACCUCAUGAAGCCCCACCAUUUUCUGUCUUCCAGAAGGAAUCCAUAUUCUCAGUUAUACACUUGGCCUGUUCCAUCAUGGGUGAAGGUAUGAAAUGGCAUGGGCGAUGAUGUCCUGAGAAUUCAGUAAAGGAGGGGACAGACUUGGGCUUGGAAUAAGACCCAGGAAUAAGCUUAGUUCAAGGAGAGGAGAAGAUGAGCCAUGGGGUUAGAUUCCUUGUUAGGUUAGGCUCAAUUUGGAUAUCUGGCAAAGUGUAAUAUCUCCUCAUUCCAGUGAGGACACUGAUUGAUGGAACUUCUAUGUGGGUUACUUCGCAUUCUUAAGAAAAUUUUUA